This 247-nucleotide long non-coding RNA is filed under the name Homo sapiens (human). RNAcentral's name for it is "non-protein coding lnc-PTGDR2-4:1". The record is from RNAcentral. Lineage: Eukaryota; Metazoa; Chordata; Mammalia; Primates; Hominidae.
AUUUACUUGGCUCAGAGUCAGUGGCCCAGUAAAGAUUCAAAGAGUGAGCUCUGCAAAUACCUGGGGGAAGAGAAUCCAGGUGGAGGAAGGGCAAGGGUGAUGGCAUGGGUGCUCCGUGCAAAGUCCUGGCUCUGCUCCCCGGAGCUUUGACCUUGGGCCGGUUUUUUACAUCUCAGCAUCUGAGUCUCCCCUCACCUUCUCAUGGGGAGUGCCACUGCCUGUCCCUAGGGGGUAGGUGGUGAGGAGU